RNAcentral lists this long non-coding RNA (569 nucleotides) under Meleagris gallopavo (turkey). RNAcentral's name for it is "lncRNA (ENSMGAG00000019416.1)". Lineage: Eukaryota; Metazoa; Chordata; Aves; Galliformes; Phasianidae. The record is from RNAcentral.
AUGGCACAGGACAACAAGAAGGCCUCCUGCACUAUGUGGAACAAGGAUGCACAUGCACACACAUGCACGCCACUCCAAGAGGACUCCGAGAACUGGAAAAGUACAUAUUUGUCUGCUUCUAUGAAAUCACACACAAGAUUUUUACUGCUAAUUGGUAUUUUUUUCCUCUUUCUGAAUAAGUUCCUUCUAACUAUUGCAGGUGACAGUACUCCAUUUUCUAAGCUCGAAUUCAUGUGUGUCCUGAGACAUCAGAGGGAAAUAUCUGAGGUGGAGGAAGGAACUGAGGAGAGACAGGAAUGCUGUGCAAAUGUGAGAUCUGGGUUUAAUAACAUCCAUGGACAACCCAUGCAAAAUAAGAAACAGCAGAAAAAAGCAUACUUUGAAGAGCAAAAUAUUUGGGUGAAUUGCCUCUUAUAUUUGGAGAAGCUCAGGACUUGGAAUUCUCUGAAGCAUAAACUAGCUCAUCUUCUUCUCCCCAGAGAACCCGUGAGUAAGUGGUGUGCAAAAGUUGUAAUUAUAUUGAGGUGUUUAAUCCACAGUAUGUUGGGCCACAUGGCACUUCCCUAUGU